AAGUACUCUCUCCCCCUGCUUUCCCUCUCCUCUGUUGCUGCAGGUGAAGUCUUCUUAUGAAGUGGAUUGGCUCCUUCAUUUUUCAGUACAUGAUGUCAGUCUCAGUCAAUAGCAGGCCUUUUAUUCCUCUGAAGAUACUCAUCACUGUGGGCAAACUAAUGACACAUGUUAAGGAGUUCAGUCUUAUGGAAAUCAUCUAAAGGUUUGGAAAUUAGUCACUGAUGAUCUCUACCAAGAAGACAGACUAUGUCAUCCUCUCAUUUGCCUUCUGAACAGCAACAAUGAAAAUUCUUUCCAAAAUCAUAGCGGGGUUUUCAAUAUCCACAGAGAAAAAUCUCUAUGGAAAGAAUAAUUCAAAGUCUCUAUGGAUUACUGGUGGAUGUUUGGGUAGCAACAUCAUGAUCAACCUAUUGUUUUACCUCCAACACAGAUUAACCCACAUUUUCAAGGAUGAAAAUUAACCACUUAAGAAAAAACUACUAUAGAUAAGCAAUCAAAAGUCUUGGAGAAGGCUAGGUGGAAGAUCAUUAAGCUAAUGCUGUUAAGCUGUAGUGGAUCAUCAUAAAUCACACAAAGGAAAAUAAAAGGGAAAUUUUGAAAAUGACAAUGGUAUCUUCACUGUUAGCAACAUGGAGACAUAGCUAAUGGAUACCGAAAAUAGGAAGCAUUUGUAUUCACUAUUUAAAAAGUGUGCAUAAACAUGUAUAUAUAAUCAACAAUGUGGAAAACAAUAAUCAUCAUGAUUGAUUAUUAUUAAAGGGUUGUUUAAAUAAAUUAUUGUACAUCAACACAACAGAAUACUGUGCAACAAAAGGUGAUGAUAUAGUCCUGUUUAUCUGAUCCUACCCAAUAAUGAAUGCUAAUGCAUCCUAGUAAUACAUAUAGCAAUGUGACAUGUAUGUUAUAUAGAUAUUGAAAGUGAGUUCCAGAUAUGAUAAAGGAAAAUCAAGAUACAGAGAAAGCAAAUUAUAGGCUUCCAUGUGCAUAUGGAUAUGUACGUAUUUUAUUUCAAUAUGUAAAAAAAGGGUCAAAGACAUAACUGCUCACUUAAAAGUAAACUUCAUUUCACUUUUGCUUCUUUUGACAAAUGUUAACAAAAGCAUACCAAUGUUAAACCAGAAGAUAGUUAAUAUAAAACAAUGAUUGAAAGAUUUGUAUGACAUAAUUUUUAUAUUCUAGUCAUGAAAAUCAUAAUUGCCAUAAGAACAGCUUACUAUAAUGGCUCAUGUGGUAUAAAACUGAAAAAAGGCCAUUUCAUAUUGCAAGCUAUGAAUGAAUUCAUUUGAGAUAAACAGCCAAACAGUACUGCUGGCAGGAUUGCCAGAUACAAA
RNAcentral lists this long non-coding RNA (1331 nucleotides) under Mus pahari (shrew mouse). RNAcentral's name for it is "lncRNA (MGP_PahariEiJ_G0005636.1)". The record is from RNAcentral. Lineage: Eukaryota; Metazoa; Chordata; Mammalia; Rodentia; Muridae.